This 342-nucleotide ribosomal RNA is filed under the name uncultured bacterium. RNAcentral describes it as "bacterial SSU rRNA". It matches the Rfam family "Bacterial small subunit ribosomal RNA", at positions 1 to 334 of the family's 1533-position model. The record is from RNAcentral.
ACAGAUCGUUCAGAGUUUGAUCCUGGCUCAGGAUGAACGCUAGCUACAGGCUUAACACAUGCAAGUCGAGGGGCAGCACUAGGUAGCAAUACUGAGGUGGCGACCGGCGCACGGGUGCGUAACGCGUAUCCAACCUUCCCGUUACUCUUGGAUAGCCUUCCGAAAGGGAGAUUAAUACAAGAUGGUAUUCAAAUUCCGCAUGUUAUUUGAAUUAAAGAUUUAUCGGUAACGGAUGGGGAUGCGUGACAUUAGAUAGUAGGCGGGGUAACGGCCCACCUAGUCUACGAUGUCUAGGGGUUCUGAGAGGAAGGUCCCCCACACUGGAACUGAGACACGGUCCAG